Long non-coding RNA from Nannospalax galili (Upper Galilee mountains blind mole rat), 189 nucleotides. RefSeq lists it as uncharacterized. The record is from RefSeq and is a predicted model, not a curated record. The transcript has 3 exons. Lineage: Eukaryota; Metazoa; Chordata; Mammalia; Rodentia; Spalacidae.
GCCGCGCGCACGCGCCUCCGCUGCCCUGGCGCCGCUGCCCUGGCGUCGCAGCCCGCGCACCUCCGGGUGAGAUAUAUCAGAAACAUAUGGGAUUCUUUUAACCAUCAGGGCACGAGUGCUGUGCAUGCAGUGGCCCUUUAGCAAAGAUGGAUGUGAGACAAGGUGCAGAAGUCCCUUGGAUAAUGAAAA